GAAUAUAAAAUUGAAGAAAUAUUAUUAGCAAUUCUUGCGACCCAUCACAAAGACAUGCAGUUCAUCGACUUAUUAUAUAUUUAGCAAAACCGUAUAAAAAUUAAAUAAUUAGUUGCAGAAGAAUUCAAAGAAAGAAGCUAAGCUAUGCGCUCAGAGGGAAACAUUCUCAAUCUUUUCAAUGGUAGAAUCAUCAAUUGCACUACUACUCUUCUUUAGUUUUAUAUAUAUAGAGAGGAAAAUACGCCCCUUCAGUGCCCAGAACAUGUGGAAGAUCAAAAUAUUCGUCCCAGUUGUUCCCUGUUAUCUACAUAUAUAUAAAAUCAACACUUUAUCUUUGUUAACACAUAAAUAUUGAAGUAUCAAUCAAAGGCGAAUACAAAUAGUGAAAAAUCACCUUAAAUUGCUUCCUGAAACUCAAAGAAUAGAGGAAGAUUGUCUAUACAAAAUCACCUUCUUAAGGUGAAGCAACAAAUUGGAAUGAUCAUUUUUGUCAAGCUAAAUUGUGGAGUUUGAUGCUUCCACUGUUUUUUUUAUCGGAUGUCCCCAAAGGGACUGAUGCUUCCACUGUCGAGGUAUCCUCAUGCGGGUCUUUUAAU
Molecule: long non-coding RNA, 596 nt
Filed under: Nicotiana tabacum (common tobacco)
Lineage: Eukaryota; Viridiplantae; Streptophyta; Magnoliopsida; Solanales; Solanaceae
Description: long non-coding RNA (NTAB_LNC013750)
Source: RNAcentral